RNAcentral lists this non-coding RNA (31 nucleotides) under Rattus norvegicus (Norway rat). Lineage: Eukaryota; Metazoa; Chordata; Mammalia; Rodentia; Muridae. The record is from RNAcentral.
UGCCAGUGCCUGUUCCUACAUGGAGAUUGGU